Molecule: unclassified non-coding RNA, 249 nt
Filed under: Hevea brasiliensis (rubber tree)
Lineage: Eukaryota; Viridiplantae; Streptophyta; Magnoliopsida; Malpighiales; Euphorbiaceae
Source: RNAcentral
CUGAUUACAGGCUUGGGCUAUUUGAAAAAAAACUGCAGGCCAUUUUAGCAAAUGUUUAGGUUUUUGUCAAAGCUCAAAAUAGGUUUGACAGAGUUUACUGAAAUUCCCGUAGAUGGAAAAGCAUAUAGGUCGUUCUUUUACUUUUCUUUUGUGGAUUUUUUUUUUCUCUCUCUUCUGGUUUAAAUGUAACAGCAAAUGCAGCAGCUUCUCUACCAUCAAUGCAAGUUAUCAUCAUGUCAUCAUGUAUAA